GGGAGGUGCAGUGGCGGCGGUCGUCACGCCGGUCUCGAACACCGGUCGUCCUUCGGGGCGGGGGUUCAACUCCUCCACCUUCCU
Molecule: transfer RNA, 84 nt
Filed under: Sandaracinaceae bacterium
Lineage: Bacteria; Pseudomonadati; Myxococcota; Polyangiales; Sandaracinaceae
Description: tRNA-Ser
Source: RNAcentral